CCGUAAGCUUAAAUAAACCCUUUCUCCUGGAAGCUGCCUUGGUCAUGGCGCUUAUCAGAGCACCAAGAAAGUAAGCAGUGCGUUCUCACAUCUGGAACAUGAAGGAAAGCUGGACGGAGAUUGAGUGCCACGAGCCGUUUUGAAACCCUUGGUACUUUUGACAGCAGGGCCUUAGCGUUUGAGACUACAGGAAAGCUAACUACCAUGGUACUCUUAAUUAGUCACAGGCCCCCAUUUGGUUCUCUGCUAGCCAGGCACAGAUGUCACGGGUAGUGUCACACACAGUCAGAAGUCACUGUUGAGCCUACUAAAAUGGAGUCCCUUACUUUCCCUAGGGAGUUCAGUCUGUCUGGACUUCUGCAGACUGUCACUUUCUUUCUGGGCCUCUUAAGCCCCAAGAACACAUCAGUUAGGCAGUAGAGACAUGAGCCCCACCUGUACCCACCCCUGCUUCCCCGGAUCCGGGUAUCACCUUCUGGAUAAAAACGCUUUGGCUUGAAGAGUAAGUAAGCUUUGCCCUCACAGGUUCUCUGACAGAGCAUCACACUGUCAGGGUAUCUUCUUGUGAACUUGGCUCCAAUGUCAGCAGACUUGAGUCAGAUAUGGAGCCAAUUGUAAGGGUCCAUGAUUGGUCAAAGGAGGAUACCCCGGACUCAAAUAAUACGCAAGAACAAAGAGUGUCUUAUUCUGCAGAAAUCCUGCAUGUGAGGGGUCCGCCAUUUACCAAGAUAGAGCCGCCCAGGUAAGCUUGCAGGCCCAAUUCAAAGGACAUUAGGGGAAUUCCAGGGAGGGGUAGGUGACCUUUAUCUUGAUUGGUUUCUGUCAAUAUCUUGGGACGUUCCAGAACCAUCGUUGGAAACUGUUGCUAACUGUUUUUUCCUCGGGCCAGGUGGCAGGGCAUCUUUUGAUGGUGGGGGUGGCUUUUAAUUGGCUGCCCUCCGACUGUGUUUGUUUUUCCCUAGUAACUGACGUGUGUAGACUUACCCAGUUCUGGGAAACAGAAAUGUAGGCCUAGUCUCCUGAACGCCUAGUUUGAAGCCUGUCAUGGAGUCAGCUUGUCUCACUGUGACUUGACUCCUCCACCCUAAAAGUCACCUUUUAUACUCCGGGGACAUACUGACUGAUUUAGAGUUGUGUUGAAUCCGGUACCCGCCAGCAUGGAAUGGGAUAGUAC
RNAcentral lists this long non-coding RNA (1174 nucleotides) under Rattus norvegicus (Norway rat). Its description in RNAcentral is "long non-coding RNA NONRATT029957". Lineage: Eukaryota; Metazoa; Chordata; Mammalia; Rodentia; Muridae. The record is from RNAcentral.